This 253-nucleotide ribosomal RNA is filed under the name uncultured bacterium. RNAcentral's name for it is "partial 16S ribosomal RNA". It matches the Rfam family "Bacterial small subunit ribosomal RNA", at positions 524 to 776 of the family's 1533-position model. The record is from RNAcentral.
UACGGAGGGUGCGAGCGUUGUCCGGAAUCACUGGGCGUAAAGGGCGUGCAGGCGGUCUGUUAAGUUCAGGGUGAAAGCUCCCGGCUCAACUGGGAGAGGUCCUUGGAUACUGGCAGACUUGAGGGAGGUAGAGGAGAGUGGAAUUCCCGGUGUAGUGGUGAUAUGCGUAGAUAUCGGGAGGAACACCAGUGGCGAAGGCGGCUCUCUGGGCCUUUCCUGACGCUGAGACGCGAAAGCGUGGGGAGCGAACCGG